AGAGUUUGAUCCUGGCUCAGAACGAACGCUGGCGGCGUGCCUAACACAUGCAAGUCGAACGAGAAAGGGAUAGCAAUAUCCCCGGUAAAGUGGCGAACGGGUGAGUAACACGUGGGUAACCUGCCCUCGAGCUCGGAAUAACCCGCCGAAAGGUGGGCUAAUACCGGAUUACAUUCCCGGCCCUCUGGGGCCAGGAAUCAAAGAUGGCCAAUGCUUGCAAGCUAUCACUUGAGGAGGGGCCCGCGGCCCAUUAGCUAGUUGGCGGGGUAAUGGCCCACCAAGGCGACGAUGGGUAGCCGGCCUGAGAGGGCGAUCGGCCACAUUGGAACUGAGACACGGUCCAGACUCCUACGGGAGGCAGCAGUGAGGAAUCUUGCGCAAUGGGCGAAAGCCUGACGCAGCAACGCCGCGUGGGUGAUGAAGGCCUUCGGGUCGUAAAACCCUGUCAGGUGGGAAGAAUCGGGUGGGGGCUAAUAUCCUCUGCCCCUGACUGUACCACCAGAGGAAGCCCCGGCUAACUCCGUGCCAGCAGCCGCGGUAAUACGGAGGGGGCCAGCGUUGUUCGGAAUUAUUGGGCGUAAAGGGCGCGUAGGCGGCCGAGUAAGUCUGACGUGAAAUCCCUUGGCUUAACCAAGGAACUGCGUCUUAAACUGCUCGGCUUGAGUCCGGGAGAGGGUAGUGGAAUUCCCAGUGUAGCGGUGAAAUGCGUAGAUAUUGGGAGGAACACCGGUGGCGAAGGCGGCUACCUGGACCGGUACUGACGCUGAGGCGCGAAAGCUAGGGGAGCAAACAGGAUUAGAUACCCUAGUAGUCC
This 814-nucleotide ribosomal RNA is filed under the name uncultured bacterium. RNAcentral describes it as "bacterial SSU rRNA". It matches the Rfam family "Bacterial small subunit ribosomal RNA", at positions 8 to 796 of the family's 1533-position model. The record is from RNAcentral.